This 201-nucleotide long non-coding RNA is filed under the name Elaeis guineensis (African oil palm). RNAcentral's name for it is "long non-coding RNA (EGUI_LNC006587)". The record is from RNAcentral. Lineage: Eukaryota; Viridiplantae; Streptophyta; Magnoliopsida; Arecales; Arecaceae.
GGCCUCUAAUUUCUUUGACCCGAGACUUUUAGGUUGCUUAUUGCUGGCCAGAAAUGCAAAAAUCUUUAAGAGUAGCAUCCAGUCAUGGGAACUUGUCAUGGAAGGGCACUUUCACAAGCAACCAAGGUUACUCACCCACUUGCAGUUGGAGAAUCGAUAACAACUAGGAACACCUGGGAUUCAGCGCCAACCGCAUCCUAG